Molecule: ribosomal RNA, 710 nt
Filed under: Enterobacter sp. SVUB4
Lineage: Bacteria; Pseudomonadati; Pseudomonadota; Gammaproteobacteria; Enterobacterales; Enterobacteriaceae
Description: bacterial SSU rRNA
Rfam family: Bacterial small subunit ribosomal RNA
Source: RNAcentral
CCUGGCUCAGAUUGAACGCUGGCGGCAGGCCUAACACAUGCAAGUCGAACGGUAGCACAGAGGAGCUUGCUCCUCGGGUGACGAGUGGCGGACGGGUGAGUAAUGUCUGGGAAACUGCCCGAUGGAGGGGGAUAACUACUGGAAACGGUAGCUAAUACCGCAUAACGUCGCAAGACCAAAGAGGGGGACCUUCGGGCCUCUUGCCAUCGGAUGUGCCCAGAUGGGAUUAGCUAGUAGGUGGGGUAAUGGCUCACCUAGGCGACGAUCCCUAGCUGGUCUGAGAGGAUGACCAGCCACACUGGAACUGAGACACGGUCCAGACUCCUACGGGAGGCAGCAGUGGGGAAUAUUGCACAAUGGGCGCAAGCCUGAUGCAGCCAUGCCGCGUGUGUGAAGAAGGCCUUCGGGUUGUAAAGCACUUUCAGCGGGGAGGAAGGCGAUACGGUUAAUAACCGUGUUGAUUGACGUUACCCGCAGAAGAAGCACCGGCUAACUCCGUGCCAGCAGCCGCGGUAAUACCGGAGGGUGCAAGCGUUAUCGGAAUUACUGGGCGUAAAGCGCACGGCAGGCGGUCUGUCAAGUCGGAUGUGAAAUCCCGGGCUCAACCUGGAAACUGCAUUCGAACUGGCAGGCUUGAGGUCCUUGUAAGGGGGGUAGCAAUUCCCACAGGUGUAAACGGUGNAAAUGCGGUAGAGAUCUGGAGGAUUACC